Molecule: ribosomal RNA, 253 nt
Filed under: uncultured bacterium
Lineage: Bacteria
Description: partial 16S ribosomal RNA
Rfam family: Bacterial small subunit ribosomal RNA
Source: RNAcentral
UACGUAGGGCGCAAGCGUUGUCCGGAAUUAUUGGGCGUAAAGAGCUCGUAGGUGGCGUGUCGCGUCUGCCGUGAAAGCCCAUGGCUUAACUGUGGGUCUGCGGUGGAUACGGGCAGGCUGGAGGCUGGUAGGGGCAAGCGGAAUUCCUGGUGUAGCGGUGAAAUGCGCAGAUAUCAGGAGGAACACCGGUGGCGAAGGCGGGACUCUGGGCCGAUACUGACGCUGAGGAGCGAAAGCGUGGGGAGCAAACAGG